CACACACACACACACACACAAUCUUAGAUCCUCCCCUUUGAAACAGCUGGUUCUCUCAUAAAUGAGUUCUGAAGCGUGGAAGUCGAAGAUCAAGACGCUGGCAGCGCUGUUUCUGAGGUAGGUGGGAAAGAACAGACUGAUGCUGGGAAACAUGGCUCUUACACCUAAAGUGCAUUGUCUUGUGGCGAAAGUAGUGAAGAAGGAGGACUUUGGCGGCAGCUGCACAGAGAGAAUGAGAGAGCACGCAAAUAGUGGGGAGAAAGAGGGAGAAGAAGACUCCCCACCAAGCAGGGAGCCUGACGCCAGGCUCAGUCCCAGGACCCCAGGAUCAUGACCAGAGCUGAAGACAGACACCCAACCAUCUGAGCCACCCAGGUG
RNAcentral lists this long non-coding RNA (378 nucleotides) under Mustela putorius furo (domestic ferret). RNAcentral's name for it is "lncRNA (ENSMPUG00000024343.1)". Lineage: Eukaryota; Metazoa; Chordata; Mammalia; Carnivora; Mustelidae. The record is from RNAcentral.